GAUGAAGAACGUAGCAAAAUGCGAUACUUGGUGUGAAUUGCAGAAUCCCGUGAACCAUCGAGUUUUUGAACGCAAGUUGCGCCCGAAGCCUUUUGGCCGAGGGCACGUCUGCCUGGGCGUCACGCAUCGCGUCGCCCCCCACAAUUCUCCGUAAAGGGAACAUGUGUUUUGGGGGCGGAUAUUGGUCUCCCGUGCUCAUGGCGUGGUUGGCCGAAAUAGGAGUCCUUUCGAUGGACGCACGAACUAGUGGUGGUCGUAAAAACCCUCGUCUUUUGUUUCGUGCUGUUGCUCGCAAGGUAAACUCUUUAAAAACCCCAAUGUGUCGUCUCUUGACGACGCUUCGACCGCGACCCCAGGUCAGGCGGGACUACCCGCUGAGUUUAAGCAUAUCAAUAAGCGGAGGA
RNAcentral lists this unclassified non-coding RNA (404 nucleotides) under soil metagenome. RNAcentral's name for it is "partial contains 5.8S ribosomal RNA, internal transcribed spacer 2, and large subunit ribosomal RNA". The stretch from base 1 to 122 matches the Rfam family "5.8S ribosomal RNA", at positions 35 to 154 of the family's 154-position model. The record is from RNAcentral.